CCCCAGCGGAGGUACUGGUUCCAGGUCACCAUGUCCACCCUGUAGAUCAGCUCUGCCAGAAAUAAUGACACAAAUGCACCUCCAAUGGCAGCGUUGCCGUGGUGCUGAAGAAGACUUGGGUCUGUCCGAGCUGCAGCAGAGUCUCCCUCCACUGGCUGACGUCGUAACCUGCAGGUUUGCUCCUACGUAUCCGGCCAGGUGAGCUCCCAGACUCACGCCGAUGAGGUGCACUGAACUCAGAGAGGCUCCUUCCUCCUGUAGACACACAACAUU
Long non-coding RNA from Etheostoma spectabile (orangethroat darter), 273 nucleotides. RefSeq lists it as uncharacterized. Lineage: Eukaryota; Metazoa; Chordata; Actinopteri; Perciformes; Percidae. The record is from RefSeq and is a predicted model, not a curated record. The transcript is spliced from 3 exons.